GGCGUCGUAGCUCAACGGUAGAGCGGCUGUUUCAUCGGCUCCGGUGACUCGCGCGACUCGUUUCGCGCUCCAACGGCGGGAGCUGUACACACUUCGGGCUUUCAACCCGCCGGUACUCGGUUCGACUCCGAGCGACGCCA
Molecule: transfer RNA, 140 nt
Filed under: Sandaracinus sp.
Lineage: Bacteria; Pseudomonadati; Myxococcota; Polyangiales; Sandaracinaceae
Also listed under: 1 other name
Description: tRNA-OTHER
Rfam family: tRNA
About the family: Transfer RNA (tRNA) molecules are approximately 80 nucleotides in length. Their secondary structure includes four short double-helical elements and three loops (D, anti-codon, and T loops).
Source: RNAcentral